RNAcentral lists this ribosomal RNA (441 nucleotides) under uncultured Anaerolineae bacterium. RNAcentral describes it as "partial 16S ribosomal RNA". It matches the Rfam family "Bacterial small subunit ribosomal RNA", at positions 338 to 794 of the family's 1533-position model. Lineage: Bacteria; Bacillati; Chloroflexota; Anaerolineae. The record is from RNAcentral.
CCUACGGGAGGCAGCAGUAAGGAAUAUUGGGCAAUGGGCGAAAGCCUGACCCAGCAACGCCGCGUGAGGGACGAGGGCCUUCGGGUUGUAAACCUCUUUUCUGGGGGACGAGACCAGGACGGUACCUCAGGAAUAAGUCUCGGCUAACUACGUGCCAGCAGCCGCGGUAAGACGUAGGAGGCGAGCGUUAUCCGGAUUUACUGGGCGUAAAGCGCACGCAGGCGGCUUCGUUAGUCGGAUGUGAAAGCUCCUGGCUUAACUGGGAGAGGCCAUUCGAUACUGCCUGUCUGGAGGGUCGGAGAGGGACGUGAAAUUCCCGGUGUAGCGGUAAAAUGCGUAGAGAUCGGGAGGAACACCAGUGGCGAAGGCGGCGCCCUGGCCGACACCUGACGCUGAAGCGCGAAAGCGUGGGGAGCGAACGGGAUUAGAUCCCCGGGUAGU